RNAcentral lists this transfer RNA (69 nucleotides) under Urocitellus parryii (Arctic ground squirrel). RNAcentral describes it as "Spermophilus parryii (Arctic ground squirrel) tRNA". It matches the Rfam family "tRNA". Rfam says of the family: Transfer RNA (tRNA) molecules are approximately 80 nucleotides in length. Their secondary structure includes four short double-helical elements and three loops (D, anti-codon, and T loops). RNAcentral also lists the same sequence under 1 other name. The record is from Rfam by way of RNAcentral. Lineage: Eukaryota; Metazoa; Chordata; Mammalia; Rodentia; Sciuridae.
GGGGUUGUAGCUCAGUGGUAGAGUGAUUGCCUAGCAUGCAUGAGGCACUGGGUUCGAUCCUCAGCACCA